GUGGAAAGACGUCUGUUGACUCUGUUUACGCCGUUCAUGAGAGUGUCAGUUCACGCCGUUCGUGAGUGUUAGUUCACGUUGUUCAUGGUAAAAUUAAUCCUUCGCCUUUUUAUUGGAGAAUCCUCACAACCUGUCAUGUUUACAGGAUGUAAGAACAACCAAAAGUUAAACAAAGCCAAUUCCUCAAGAAGCUAUGCUGUUACACACAUGUGGUGAGUGGUGCUCGUCAGCUACUUAUACGACAAGUUUAAUGCUGGACUUACAAUGCCUCAUCUGACAUGCAUGCUGAUGUGCAUGCACCCCUCACCUCCUGUUACUUAACAUCUCCCCUUUGAUUUGCUCAACUUUCCGUCUACAUAUUUAGGCACAAGUUGUAUUUAUUUGAUGGUAUGGAAUGAAGUAUUUCAUAAUACAGUCUUGAUAUGCCAUCU
This is a long non-coding RNA of Daphnia pulicaria, 431 nucleotides long. RefSeq lists it as uncharacterized. The record is from RefSeq and is a predicted model, not a curated record. NCBI's taxonomy places the organism in Eukaryota, Metazoa, Arthropoda, Branchiopoda, Diplostraca, Daphniidae. The transcript has 3 exons.